Molecule: unclassified non-coding RNA, 336 nt
Filed under: soil metagenome
Description: partial contains 5.8S ribosomal RNA, internal transcribed spacer 2, and large subunit ribosomal RNA
Rfam family: 5.8S ribosomal RNA (bases 1-120)
Source: RNAcentral
GAUGAAGAACGCAGCGAAAUGCGAUAAGUAAUGUGAAUUGCAGAAUUCAGUGAAUCAUCGAAUCUUUGAACGCACGUUGCGCCCGCCAGUAUUCUGGCGGGCAUGCCUGUUCGAGCGUCAUUUCAACCAUCAAGCCCCCGGCUUGUGUUGGGGACCUGCGGCUGCCGCAGGCCCUGAAAAGCAGUGGCGGGCUCGCUGUCACACCGAGCGUAGUAGCAUACAUCUCGCUCUGGGCGUGCUGCGGGUUCCGGCCGUUAAACCACCUUCAUAACCCAAGGUUGACCUCGGAUCAGGUAGGAAGACCCGCUGAACUUAAGCAUAUCAAUAAGCGGAGGA